AACGAACGCUGGCGGCAGGCUUAACACAUGCAAGUCGAACGGGCGUAGCAACACGUCAGUGGCGGACGGGUGAGUAACACGUGGGAAUAUGCCUUUCGGUUCGGAACAACUCGGGGAAACCCGUGCUAAUUCCGGAUACGCCCUUACGGGAAGAUUUAUCGCCGAAAGAUUAGCCCGCGUUGGAUUAGCUAGUUGGUGAGGUAAAGGCUCACCAAGGCGACGAUCCAUAGCUGGUUUGAGAGAACGACCAGCCACACUGGGACUGAGACACGGCCCAGACUCCUACGGGAGGCAGCAGUGGGGAAUCUUGGACAAUGGGCGCAAGCCUGAUCCAGCCAUGCCGCGUGAGUGAUGAAGGCCCUUCGG
Molecule: ribosomal RNA, 366 nt
Filed under: uncultured bacterium
Lineage: Bacteria
Description: bacterial SSU rRNA
Rfam family: Bacterial small subunit ribosomal RNA
Source: RNAcentral